GACGAACGCUGGCGGCGUGCUUAACACAUGCAAGUCGAACGGAAAGGCCCUGCUUUUGUGGGGUGCUCGAGUGGCGAACGGGUGAGUAACACGUGAGUAACCUGCCCUUGACUUUGGGAUAACUUCAGGAAACUGGGGCUAAUACCGGAUAGGAGCUCCUGCUGCAUGGUGGGGGUUGGAAAGUUUCGGCGGUUGGGGAUGGACUCGCGGCUUAUCAGCUUGUUGGUGGGGUAGUGGCUUACCAAGGCUUUGACGGGUAGCCGGCCUGAGAGGGUGACCGGCCACAUUGGGACUGAGAUACGGCCCAGACUCCUACGGGAGGCAGCGGAGGGGAAUAUUGCACAAUGGGCGGAAGCCUGAUGCAGCAACGCAGCGUGCGGGAUGACGGCCUUCGGGUUGUAAACCACUUUCGCCUGUGACGAAGCGUGAGUGACGGUAAUGGGUAAAGAAGCACCGGCUAACUACGUG
This 468-nucleotide ribosomal RNA is filed under the name uncultured bacterium. RNAcentral describes it as "partial 16S ribosomal RNA". It matches the Rfam family "Bacterial small subunit ribosomal RNA", at positions 28 to 507 of the family's 1533-position model. The record is from RNAcentral.